UACGUAGGGUGCGAGCGUUAAUCGGAAUUACUGGGCGUAAAGCGUGCGCAGGUGGUUCUAUAAGACAGAUGUGAAAUCCCUGGGCUUAACCUAGGAAUUGCAUUUGUGACUGUAGGGCUAGAGUGUGUCAGAGGGGGGUGGAAUUCCACGUGUAGCAGUGAAAUGCGUAGAUAUGUGGAGGAACACCAAUGGCGAAGGCAGCCCCCUGGGAUAACACUGACGCUCAUGCACGAAAGCGUGGGGAGCAAACAGG
This 253-nucleotide ribosomal RNA is filed under the name uncultured bacterium. Its description in RNAcentral is "partial 16S ribosomal RNA". It matches the Rfam family "Bacterial small subunit ribosomal RNA", at positions 524 to 776 of the family's 1533-position model. The record is from RNAcentral.